UACAGAGACUGCAAGCGUUAUUCGGAUUCACUGGGCGUAAAGGGUGCGCAGGCGGCCGUGUGUGUGAGGCGUGAAAGCCCGGGGCUUAACCCCGGAAUUGCACCUCAAACUACAUGGCUAGAGCAUUGGAGAGGGUAGCAGAAUUCAUGGUGUAGCAGUGAAAUGCGUAGAUAUCAUGAGGAAUACCAGAGGCGAAGGCGGCUACCUGGACAAUUGCUGACGCUCAGGCACGAAAGCGUGGGGAGCAAACAGG
This 253-nucleotide ribosomal RNA is filed under the name uncultured bacterium. RNAcentral's name for it is "partial 16S ribosomal RNA". It matches the Rfam family "Bacterial small subunit ribosomal RNA", at positions 524 to 776 of the family's 1533-position model. The record is from RNAcentral.